This 497-nucleotide ribosomal RNA is filed under the name uncultured bacterium. RNAcentral describes it as "partial 16S ribosomal RNA". It matches the Rfam family "Bacterial small subunit ribosomal RNA", at positions 28 to 507 of the family's 1533-position model. The record is from RNAcentral.
GAUGAACGCUGGCGGCGUGCCUAAUACAUGCAAGUCGAGCGAACGGACGAGAAGCUUGCUUUUCUGAUGUUAGCGGCGGACGGGUGAGUAACACGUGGAUAACCUACCUAUAAGACUGGGAUAACUUCGGGAAACCGGAGCUAAUACCGGAUAAUAUUUUGAACCGCAUGGUUCAAAAGUGAAAGACGGUCUUGCUGUCACUUAUAGAUGGAUCCGCGCUGCAUUAGCUAGUUGGUAAGGUAACGGCUUACCAAGGCAACGAUGCAUAGCCGACCUGAGAGGGUGAUCGGCCACACUGGAACUGAGACACGGUCCAGACUCCUACGGGAGGCAGCAGUAGGGAAUCUUCCGCAAAGGGCGAGAGCCUGACGGAGCAACGCCGCGUGAGUGAUGAAGGUCUUCGGAUCGUAAAACUCUGUUAUUAGGGAAGAACAUAUGUGUAAGUAACUGUGCACAUCUUGACGGUACCUAAUCAGAAAGCCACGGCUAACUACGUG